AGCUGGUCUGAGUGCAGUGGUAUUUACAAUUAAUUGAUCACAACCAAUUACAGAUUUCUUUUUUCCUUCUCCCCUCCCACCACUUUAUUUGACUAGCCUAAA
This 102-nucleotide Y RNA is filed under the name Propithecus coquereli (Coquerel's sifaka). RNAcentral's name for it is "Y RNA (ENSPCOG00000007358.1)". It matches the Rfam family "Y RNA". Rfam says of the family: Y RNAs are components of the Ro ribonucleoprotein particle (Ro RNP), in association with Ro60 and La proteins. The Y RNAs and Ro60 and La proteins are well conserved, but the function of the Ro RNP is not known. In humans the RNA component can be one of four small RNAs -- hY1, hY3, hY4 and hY5. Lineage: Eukaryota; Metazoa; Chordata; Mammalia; Primates; Indriidae. The record is from Rfam by way of RNAcentral.